AACGAACGCUGGCGGCGGGUCUUAGGCAUGCAAGUCGAACGCGUGUAGCAAUACACGAGUGGCGCACGGGUGAGUAACGCGUGGGAAUCUGCCCAUUGGUGGGGAAUAACGUUUGGAAACGAACGCUAAUACCGCAUAAGCCGGAAACGGGAAAGGCGAAAGCCGCCGAUGGAUGAGCCCGCGUUGGAUUAGUUAGUUGGUGGGGUAAAGGCCUACCAAGGCGAUGAUCCAUAGCUGGUCUGAGAGGACGAUCAGCCACACUGGGACUGAGACACGGCCCAGACUCCUACGGGAGGCAGCAGCUAAGAAUAUUGGACAAUGGGGGAAACCCUGAUCCAGCCACGCCGCGUGAGUGAAGAAGGCCUUCGGGUUGUAAAGCUCUUUUAGUCGUGACGACGAUGACGGUAGCGACAGAAAAGACACCGGCUAACUUCGUG
Molecule: ribosomal RNA, 437 nt
Filed under: uncultured bacterium
Lineage: Bacteria
Description: bacterial SSU rRNA
Rfam family: Bacterial small subunit ribosomal RNA
Source: RNAcentral